UUAAGCGACUAAGCGUACACGGUGGAUGCCCUGGCAGUCAGAGGCGAUGAAGGACGUGCUAAUCUGCGAAAAGCGUCGGUAAGGUGAUAUGAACCGUUAUAGCCGGCGAUGUCCGAAUGGGGAAACCCAGUGCAAUUCGUUGCACUAUCGUUAACUGAAUACAUAGGUUAACGAGGCGAACCGGGGGAACUGAAACAUCUAAGUACCCCGAGGAAAAGAAAUCAACCGAGAUUCCCCCAGUAGCGGCGAGCGAACGGGGAGCAGCCCGGAGUCUGAAUCAGCUUGUGUGUUAGUGGAAGCGUCUGGAAAGUCGCAGGGUACAGGGUGAUACUCCCGUACACUAAAGCACACAGGUUGUGAACUCGAAGAGUAGGGCGGGACACGUGGUAUCCUGUCUGAAUAUGGGGGGACCAUCCUCCAAGGCUAAAUACUCCUGACUGACCGAUAGUGAACCAGUACCGUGAGGGAAAGGCGAAAAGAACCCCGGCGAGGGGAGUGAAAAAGAACCUGAAACCGUGUACGUACAAGCAGUAGGAGCCCACUAGUUGGGUGACUGCGUACCUUUUGUAUAAUGGGUCAGCGACUUAUAUUCUGUAGCAAGGUUAACCGUAUAGGGGAGCCGCAGGGAAACCGAGUCUUAACUGGGCGUUAAGUUGCAGGGUAUAGACCCGAAACCCGGUGAUCUAGCCAUGGGCAGGUUGAAGGUUGGGUAACACUAACUGGAGGACCGAACCGACUAAUGUUGAAAAAUUAGCGGAUGACUUGUGGCUGGGGGUGAAAGGCCAAUCAAACCGGGAGAUAGCUGGUUCUCCCCGAAAGCUAUUUAGGUAGCGCCUCGUGAACUCAUCUUCGGGGGUAGAGCACUGUUUCGGCUAGGGGGUCAUCCCGACUUACCAACCCGAUGCAAACUACGAAUACCGAAGAAUGUUAUCACGGGAGACACACGGCGGGUGCUAACGUCCGUCGUGAAGAGGGAAACAACCCAGACCGCCAGCUAAGGUCCCAAAGUCAUGGUUAAGUGGGAAACGAUGUGGGAAGGCCCAGACAGCCAGGAUGUUGGCUUAGAAGCAGCCAUCAUUUAAAGAAAGCGUAAUAGCUCACUGGUCGAGUCGGCCUGCGCGGAAGAUGUAACGGGGCUAAACCAUGCACCGAAGCUGCGGCAGCGACACUAUGUGUUGUUGGGUAGGGGAGCGUUCUGUAAGCCGUUGAAGGUGGCCUGUGAGGGUUGCUGGAGGUAUCAGAAGUGCGAAUGCUGACAUAAGUAACGAUAAUGCGGGUGAAAAACCCGCACGCCGGAAGACCAAGGGUUCCUGUCCAACGUUAAUCGGGGCAGGGUGAGUCGACCCCUAAGGCGAGGCCGAAAGGCGUAGUCGAUGGGAAACAGGUUAAUAUUCCUGUACUCGGUGUUACUGCGAAGGGGGGACGGAGAAGGCUAUGUUGGCCGGGCGACGGUUGUCCCGGUUUAAGCAUGUAGGCGGAUGUUCCAGGUAAAUCCGGAACGUUACUAACGCUGAGGUGUGAUGACGAGGCACUACGGUGCUGAAGUGACAAAUGCCCUGCUUCCAGGAAAAGCCUCUAAGCAUCAGGUAACAUCAAAUCGUACCCCAAACCGACACAGGUGGUCAGGUAGAGAAUACCAAGGCGCUUGAGAGAACUCGGGUGAAGGAACUAGGCAAAAUGGUGCCGUAACUUCGGGAGAAGGCACGCUGAUGGUAAGUGAAGUGACUUGCUCAUGGAGCUGAAAUCAGUCGAAGAUACCAGCUGGCUGCAACUGUUUAUUAAAAACACAGCACUGUGCAAACACGAAAGUGGACGUAUACGGUGUGACGCCUGCCCGGUGCCGGAAGGUUAAUUGAUGGGGUUAUCCGUAAGGAGAAGCUCUUGAUCGAAGCCCCGGUAAACGGCGGCCGUAACUAUAACGGUCCUAAGGUAGCGAAAUUCCUUGUCGGGUAAGUUCCGACCUGCACGAAUGGCGUAAUGAUGGCCAGGCUGUCUCCACCCGAGACUCAGUGAAAUUGAACUCGCUGUGAAGAUGCAGUGUACCCGCGGCAAGACGGAAAGACCCCGUGAACCUUUACUAUAGCUUGACACUGAACACUGGUCCUUGAUGUGUAGGAUAGGUGGGAGGCUUUGAAGUGUGGACGCCAGUCUGCAUGGAGCCAUCCUUGAAAUACCACCCUUUAAUGGCUGGUGUUCUAACGUGGGCCCCUGAUCGGGGUUGCGGACAGUGUCUGGUGGGUAGUUUGACUGGGGCGGUCUCCUCCUAAAGAGUAACGGAGGAGCACGAAGGUCAGCUAAUCCUGGUCGGACAUCAGGAGGUUAGUGCAAUGGCAUAAGCUGGCUUGACUGCGAGCGUGACGGCGCGAGCAGGUGCGAAAGCAGGUCAUAGUGAUCCGGUGGUUCUGAAUGGAAGGGCCAUCGCUCAACGGAUAAAAGGUACUCCGGGGAUAACAGGCUGAUACCGCCCAAGAGUUCAUAUCGACGGCGGUGUUUGGCACCUCGAUGUCGGCUCAUCACAUCCUGGGGCUGAAGUAGGUCCCAAGGGUAUGGCUGUUCGCCAUUUAAAGUGGUACGCGAGCUGGGUUUAGAACGUCGUGAGACAGUUCGGUCCCUAUCUGCCGUGGGCGCUGGAGAAUUGAGGGGGGCUGCUCCUAGUACGAGAGGACCGGAGUGGACGCAUCACUGGUGUUCGGGUUGUCAUGCCAAUGGCAUUGCCCGGUAGCUAAAUGCGGAAGAGAUAAGUGCUGAAAGCAUCUAAGCACGAAACUUGCCCCGAGAUGAGUUCUCCCUGACCCUUUAAGGGUCCUGAAGGAACGUUGAAGACGACGACGUUGAUAGGCCGGGUGUGUAAGCGCAGCGAUGCGUUGAGCUAACCGGUACUAAUGAACCGUGAGGCUUAACCUU
RNAcentral lists this ribosomal RNA (2904 nucleotides) under Klebsiella oxytoca. RNAcentral's name for it is "bacterial LSU rRNA". It matches the Rfam family "Bacterial large subunit ribosomal RNA". RNAcentral also lists the same sequence under 1 other name. The record is from RNAcentral. Lineage: Bacteria; Pseudomonadati; Pseudomonadota; Gammaproteobacteria; Enterobacterales; Enterobacteriaceae.